RNAcentral lists this ribosomal RNA (258 nucleotides) under uncultured bacterium. RNAcentral's name for it is "partial 16S ribosomal RNA". It matches the Rfam family "Bacterial small subunit ribosomal RNA", at positions 524 to 779 of the family's 1533-position model. The record is from RNAcentral.
UACGAAGGGGGCUAGCGUUGUUCGGAAUUACUGGGCGUAAAGGGCGCGUAGGCGGCGUGUCAAGUCAGGCGUGAAAGCCCCGGGCUCAACCUGGGAACCGCGCUUGAGACUGGCAUGCUCGAGUUCGGGAGAGGAUGGUGGAAUUCCCAGUGUAGAGGUGAAAUUCGUAGAUAUUGGGAAGAACACCGAUGGCGAAGGCAGCCAUCUGGACCGACACUGACGCUGAGGCGCGAAAAGCGUGGGUACGCAAACGAGGAA